UAGGGAAUAUUGCGCAAUGGGGGAAACCCUGACGCAGCAACGCCGCGUGAGUGAGGAAGGUCUUCGGAUUGUAAAACUCUUUUAUUAGGGAAAAAUGUCUUUGUGGCUAAUAUCCAUAGAGAGUGAUGGUACCUAAGGAAUAAGGACCGGCUAACUUCGUGCCAGCAGCCGCGGUAAUACGAAGGGUCCAAGCGUUGUUCGGAAUCAUUGGGCGUAAAGCGCGCGCAGGCGGAUCAGCAAGUCAGAUGUGAAAUCUCGAAGCUCAACUUCGAAACUGCGUCUGAAACUGCUAGUCUAGAGUGUCGGAGGGGGUAGGGGAAUUUCACGUGUAGGGGUAAAAUCCGUAGAGAUGUGAAGGAACACCGGAGGCGAAGGCGCCUACCUGGACGACUACUGACGCUGAGGCGCGAAAGCGUGGGGAGCAAACA
RNAcentral lists this ribosomal RNA (428 nucleotides) under uncultured Peredibacter sp. Its description in RNAcentral is "bacterial SSU rRNA". It matches the Rfam family "Bacterial small subunit ribosomal RNA", at positions 355 to 774 of the family's 1533-position model. The record is from RNAcentral. Lineage: Bacteria; Pseudomonadati; Bdellovibrionota; Bacteriovoracia; Bacteriovoracales; Bacteriovoracaceae.